UGAGCUGGAAGGCCGCCGGGGGUUGUGGUAACUCUCGCGGGAAAGUGCGUCGUUGCCUCGGUAACGGCGUCGCGGCCGCGAAAGAUGGCCGGGAGAAGUUUUAAGAGACCGGGCGUUUCAGGGACUCCGCUCCCGCCACGCAUUCAGCAAGCUGCCACGCCUCGACGGGACCUCCUCGCCAAGGAGGAAGAAUAUAAACGUUUAAAUGCAGAAUUAGAGGCAAAAACAGCUGAUCUGGUUCGACAAGCUGAGGAAGUAAUAAGAGAUCAGCAAGAAGUACGAUCUAAGUCUGUUUCAGCACAAAUUAAAUCAUAUGUAGACAAAGAUGAUUACAGCUUUAGACGUCCAUUGUCUGAAGGGACAGUUCAUUUACAUUCAGAAACUAAGCCAAAGACCAAAAAUGUUGAUCCCAUAAACAAAGUUCAGAACAAACUACACUCUGCAAGUAAAGGAAGGAAAUCCAAUUCAAGUGUAAAAUUGAAAUACUGUCAUGUGCAGACUGCCAAUGAUGUUGCCAUUCCAGAGGAUUUCUCAGACUUUUCUCUUGAAAAAACAAUUAGCAAGAUUGAAGGGCAACUAGAGGAAGAAGGCUUACCUGAUUAUAUAAAUGAUGAUAUUUUUUCUGGUGUUAGUGAAGAUAUUGGAACAGAAGCACAGAUUAGAUUUCUGAAGGCCAAACUCCGUGUUAUGCAGGAAGAAUUGGAUAAUGUUGUCUGUGAAUGCAAUAAAAAGGAGGAUGAAAUUCAGGAUUUAAAGUCUCAACUGAAAAAUUUUGAAGAAGAUUGUGUGAGACAGCAGCGGACAAUUAAUUUGCAACAAUCUCAAACAGAAAAGUUUAAAACUCUUUUUGAAGAAGCAAACAAAAAAUGUGAUGGAUUACAGCAACAGUUGUCUUCAGUAGAAAGGGAAUUAGAGAAUAAAAGAAGACUGCAAAAACAGGCUGUUGCUAGUCAAAGUGCCAUGGAAGUCCGCUUAAAUCGAGCUCUAGAAGAAGCAGAAAAGUAUAAACUAGAGUUAAGUAAACUAAGGCAAAAUAACAAGAGUCUGCUCUGGAGGUAGCCUGGGCACACAAGGCCAUCAGGCCAGAAGGAACCGAAGUAGUGAUCCGGUGAGCAGGCCACCCAGGCAGGAGGGUGCUGGGAUAGCGACUGGAAAGUGAAAACCCAUUAGGCAGUGACUGGGCUAUUACAGGUAAAGCCUCCGUGAACAUUCACGUGCAAGUCUUUGUGGACGUGGAUCAGCUAUGCACACCCCUCUCUGGGAUCUCCUUCCCGCUUAGGUCACCACAGCGCACUGAGGCGGCUUCCCUCAGCUUUACAGAUAUAGCAAAUGAAGAACACAGAAAAAUCGAAGCAUUAAAAUCAGAAAACAAGAAGCUAGAAAAACAAAAAGGAGAAUUAAUGAUAGGAUUUAAGAAACAGUUAAAAUUAAUUGAUGUUUUAAAAAGGCAGA
RNA transcript from Cervus elaphus (red deer), 1452 nucleotides. It is a transcript of the gene named testis expressed 9, with no coding region annotated. The record is from RefSeq and is a predicted model, not a curated record. The transcript has 13 exons. Lineage: Eukaryota; Metazoa; Chordata; Mammalia; Artiodactyla; Cervidae.